CCUACGGGUGGCAGCAGUGAGGAAUAUUGGUCAAUGGGCGCGAGCCUGAACCAGCCAAGUAGCGUGAAGGAUGACUGCCCUACGGGUUGUAAACUUCUUUUAUAAAGGAAUAAAGUGAGGCACGUGUGCCUUUUUGUAUGUACUUUAUGAAUAAGGAUCGGCUAACUCCGUUCCAGCAGCCGCGGUAAUACGGAGGAUCCGAGCGUUAUCCGGAUUUAUUGGGUUUAAAGGGAGCGUAGAUGGGUUGUUAAGUCAGUUGUGAAAGCUUGCGGCUCAACCGGAAAAUUGCAAUUGAUACUGGCAGUCUAGAGUACAGUUGAGGUAGGUGGAAUUCGAGGUGUAGCGGUGAAAUGCGUAGAUAUCACGAAGAACUCCGAUUGCGAAGGCAGCUUACUAAACUGCCACUGACAUUGAUGCGCGAAAGUGUGGGGAGCAAACAGGAUUAGAUACCCCUGUAGUC
RNAcentral lists this ribosomal RNA (460 nucleotides) under uncultured bacterium. RNAcentral describes it as "partial 16S ribosomal RNA". It matches the Rfam family "Bacterial small subunit ribosomal RNA", at positions 338 to 795 of the family's 1533-position model. The record is from RNAcentral.